UGCCAUCGUAUUUGCAAAAAAACCCCACGGGCAAUUUUCCAUUAACCCCCUCCCGCACCUGCGAACCCUAAACCCCCUCGCUCGCUCUCCUCCCCGAGUCCCGGCUCCCCGCCGCCCUUCUCCCUCCCUCCUGCUCCCCGCCGCCGCCUCACUCUCUCUCCCUCUCUGCUCUCUGCCUCCCCGCCGCCGCCUCCCCCCUCCCGAAAUCCCCGUCCCAUCCAUCCACACCCUAGCUGCCAGUCUUCGCAUCUCUCUCAUCGGCGGCGGCGGUGUCCCCUCCCCUCCUCUCCUCCCCGCAAGAUCCGGUGUGCAGCACCAUGGAUGCCGGCGUGAGGAGCAGAGGGAUCUGGCGUGGUGGGGCCGCCGUGGCCUCGGCCGUCCGGCCAUGGGUGCUUGACCCUGUGGCCGCCGCCGCCGCUUCCGGGUUCCGGAUGGAGGCGUUCCUCCGACGGCGCCAUGGGGAAGACCUACAUGCUCAUCUGCUGCCCCUGCAAGUUCCCCACGAACAAAGAAUCCUUGCCAUUAAUCAAGAUAUGUAACUACCUGAAGCUCAUCAGAAAGCACUUUGUUUUGAUGAUAGAAGGAAAACAGAGAUGGAGAAGAAGAGAAAAUGAACUACUGUGCUUAGCUAAGGUGGUUAUAUAUAUGGACAGAGCUCACAGCUUCAGCUUACCUAAGUAGAUUGACCGUGACCACAAAUCCUAACUUUAAUCCUAAGAGCUACACAAUCUAAAAAACGAGGUAUAGUUUUCUGGACUAUCUUUUGUUACAUACAUAUACACAGCCUGCGCUUUGCCUUUGUGUAUUUGAUCAGGUUUACUCAAACAAUGUUCCUACCACGCAUCGCCUCUACUAUUAUUGUCUCGACCUUGGUUCUAUCACAAUGGACAAAAUAAAAUUGGUGUUAAUCAAAUACAUGCUAUAUCAACCACUGCUACACUAGAUACAUAAUGCAAGCAUAAUGGAUGUAUUUGAAAAUUUGUAGCUAAGCUGAUCAACAUUUCUCAAGAGUUGAAAAGCUUCAGUUGCAUGAUCAACAUUUCCCAGGUUGACAGUGCUCCCUCGAUGAAGGGCGUGUGGUUUUCUAUGUGCUUUUGCAGGAUUACAUCCCCACUGUCUUCAGUGCCAAUGUCUCGGUGGAUGGGAGCACUGUCAACUCGGGCCUCUGGGACACAGCAGGAGGACCACAGCAGAUUGAGGCCUCUUUGCUAUAGGGGGCGUGCAUCGCGCCUAAUGUUCUAGUAAGAUUGAAAGCUGCUGGCAUCCUGGACGUCCUCCACUCACCUCUCCAUUCUAAUACAAGCUAAGUUACAAGUGUAUAUAUGGUCUGUUUUAUAGUGUGAGAUUACUUGUGAUGUUGAGAUUGCUUGUGAUGUUGAGAAAGGAACACUUUAUGCUUUAUAUGUUGCGAUGAGAAUGUUCUCUCCCCCCAAGCUCCCAAACUGAGAAAGGAACACUUUAUGCUUUA
This is a long non-coding RNA of Panicum virgatum (switchgrass), 1468 nucleotides long. RefSeq lists it as uncharacterized. The record is from RefSeq and is a predicted model, not a curated record. NCBI's taxonomy places the organism in Eukaryota, Viridiplantae, Streptophyta, Magnoliopsida, Poales, Poaceae. The transcript has 5 exons.